Cavia porcellus (domestic guinea pig) is the source of this 563-nucleotide non-coding RNA. The record is from the annotation of a RefSeq genome assembly. NCBI's taxonomy places the organism in Eukaryota, Metazoa, Chordata, Mammalia, Rodentia, Caviidae.
UGAUGAAAACCAGCCCAGACCUGAUCCUGCAGCUCUGCAGAGGAGCACAGACCUGGAGGUCCAGGUGUUUCCACUCAGUGAUCAGCAUUGAGCACAGACAGCUCACCAUGGAGUUUAAAAUGUGCUGGGUUUUCCUCCUUUUUAUUUUAAAGGGUGUCCAGGCUGAGGUACAGCUCGUGGAGGCUGGGGGAGGCUUGGUGCAGCCUGGAGGUUCCCUGAGACUCUCUUGCGUGGCCUCGGGAUUCACUUUCAGUAAUUACUACAUGCACUGGAUCCGCCAGGCUCCAGGAAAGGGGCCGGAGUGGCUCACAUACAUCAGUGGUGAUAGUAGUUAUAUAAAGUACGCAGACUCCGUGAAGGGCCGAUUCACCACCUCCAGGGACAACGGCAAGAACACGCUGUAUCUGCAGAUGAGCAGCCUGAGAACCGAGGACACGGCCGUGUAUUACUGUGCUAGAGACACAGUAAGAGAAUGUCACUGUCAGCCCAGACACAAACCUCCCUGCAGGGGCACUUACUUCCAGCAGGGGGAGCCGGGGAUUCACUAACUGAGACCAGGCCUU